Molecule: long non-coding RNA, 1268 nt
Organism: Octodon degus (degu)
Lineage: Eukaryota; Metazoa; Chordata; Mammalia; Rodentia; Octodontidae
Exons: 3
Source: RefSeq, a predicted model, not a curated record
UGGGAAGAGAACCCAAACAUGUGAAUUCCUGCAGAUGCUGGAAUACAGAGCUGACCAGAAGACUUUCUGUGUGUGCCGCAGCUGCAGUGGGAAACAUGGUAAUCAGCUGGAGACUACUAUGUGGUGCUCAAAAGGCCUCCUCUUCCAGGAAGCCCACGCUGAUCUUCAGAGGCAAAAGAACAAUUCUUCAUUCUCUCGCGCUGCUUUGGUCAGCCAUUCCCUGUAGUUCGGGUCGAUCCCGGACUGCCUCUGCGAGGGUGAGUGACCCCCGGGGCUCAACCGGCUUCCUCGCUCUGCCACGUGGAGGCGUCACGUGGGCGGAGCCGGCUCCCUCUUCCCCGCAGUGAGGCCGAGACCAGCUACGUCGAGGUCGCGCACACCUCUCUUCCGGACUUCUCUCCGACGACGCAGAUCUCCAGGACCCACCUGGGGUCACUGCUGUCGCACAGGCUUGUGGCCACCCAGAUGUGCGCGACGGGCAGUGUUCUUUGGCCAAGCUCCCUGAUGGUAUCAGCUACUCAAUGUGUUUGUAGACACAUCAUUGACUUAACUUUAUUUUGAACACAUUCUAUUUAUAGAAAGUUUAAAAAAAAGUUCAAGAGGUCCCUUAAUGUGUGUCCCCAGUAGAGACAUGUUAUAUAACGGCAGAGGCUGAACAUCCCCAAUGUGAAAACCUGGAUACACAGUGCUGCAAAACCUUGAACUGCUUGCGUGGAUGACGCUGCAGGCGGGACCCACGCCCGAGCCCAUGUGGUAGUCACAGUCAAAACGCAGGUGCACUAAAGUUACUGUAUGAAAUGACCCCCGGGCUAUGGGUACAGGGUGUCCGUGAGACAGAAGUGAUUUUCCUGCUUAGACUUGCAACCUGUCCUCCAAGAAAUCUCAAUAUGUAUGUGGAAAUCUUCAAAAGUCAGGAAAAAAAAAAUCUGAAAUUUGAAACAUGGGUUCCCAAGGAUUCCCCAGACAAGGGACACCCGGCCUGUAGCACAACAUCACCAUCAGGAACUUGACAUUGGUACAGUCCACAGAGUUUAUUCCGACUUCACUAGUUAGAUGUAGAGGGAUGUGUGUGUGUGUGUGUGUGUGUGUGUGUGUGUGUGUGUGGAUUACUUCACUGUCUGUGGAGACUUAUGUAACAACCAUCACAACCUUCUAUAUCCACCCAACCCUGUCCCUGGUAAACACUAUUAAUCUAUAAUUCUAUCAUUUAAAGAAUGUUCCAAAGAAGGAAAACAGGGAAACAAACUUUGUGAAUGGGGAGGGGAGGG